RNAcentral lists this long non-coding RNA (15913 nucleotides) under Medicago truncatula (barrel medic). RNAcentral describes it as "long non-coding RNA (MTRU_LNC000366)". The stretch from base 4706 to 4794 matches the Rfam family "MIR2617 microRNA precursor family". Lineage: Eukaryota; Viridiplantae; Streptophyta; Magnoliopsida; Fabales; Fabaceae. The record is from RNAcentral.
UAUAUUUCGGUUGUCAUUGACUACAAAAUGGAAGCAAAGAACUCAAGGUAAAUAGAUGGUAAAUGAUAAAGCUACGGAAUAUUUUUUCCAUAGUGUUACAUCAACUAUAUUCUCACUGCAUAAGGAAAGACAUCUUUCAAGUCAUUAUCAAACUUAUACAAAAUCCUAUCAUCUUAAGCUGACAAAUUAGAAAAUAAUACCUUUUAUCUUUCAACACUAUGUUCGUACACAGUUUCUUUCUAGUCCCAAUUGGCAUUGUCUUGACAAUCACAUGUAGAAGCCCGAUGAUUUCUUAAAAAAAAUUACUAUUAUAAAUGUUGGAAUUUAUAUUAUAUGAUAUUAUAUUUGUUGGUAUCAUGGAAACAUAUAUGUUUAGUUUUUUUGAAUAAGAAAAAGAGAUGCAAAGUUUGUUACAAUAUAAAGGUGGAAUAUAUAUAUAUAUAUAUAAAUAUAUAUAUAUAUAUAUAUAUAUGUGUUUGUGUGUGUGUGUGUGUGUGUGUGGCAUUUCAAAUGAGAGGAGUGAUUAUUAUGAGAGAUGAGAGGACUUAAUAAUAACCAUUGGAUCUAAACUAAUCAUGUUACUUCAUCAAUAGCUAUGCGGUCAAUUAAAACAAAAAAACACAGCUCUUCGUGUUUCCUCUACACACGCUUCUCAAUGCAAUUUGUACAUAACCCUUUAGCUGGCGAUGGCGAUGACGAUGCUUACUGCUUUUGUUAGAAGAUUUCUAUGGCCACCUAAAUCAUACAUACCCCAAUUGAAUGUUUUUUUUUAUUUUCCAUUUUCGUGAUUCGUUUCUUAUCAAUUGAUUAAAUUUUUUAAAAAUGGUUAAAUUAAGUUGGAUUUGAACAAUAGUAGAACUAAACUAUAAUUUCACUCUUAACCAAAUCAGCUUGUGAUUAUUUGUUAGUCUUCUACGAAAUUACUCUAACUAAUUGGAAUUUCUCUCCCAAAGCUAUCAUAAUCUUUCUUUUCUUUGACAAAAUCUUAUUAUGUUUUCUUUCUAUUGAACCUAAAUUGAGGGAGAGGAAAUAAAUGAAUAGAAGAACCUUGAAGAGAUCCUUUCUAUAGAGAGAAAAAUCAAGGAAGAAAAAUACAUAGAAGAGUUAAAAAGAGCAGUCACUUAUGGCUUAUGCAAUAGACAGAGAACGAGAUAAGGGAAAUGGAGAAAGCUAAUUUACUCUUAAGAGGUGCAGUAAAGGAGUGCUACCUCAAAAUUUUAUAAAAAUAAUCUACAAUUUUGAAGAAAAGACAUCUACAAUUUUACUUUUUUUUUAGGGAUCUAGACCUUUUUUGAAGAAAAGACAUCUACAAUUUUACUCUUUUUUUUAACCAAAAAAGAGGUGCAGCAAAGGACUCCUACCUCAAAAUUUUAUAAAAAUAAUCAUACGCAUUAUGCAACACCAAAAAAAAUUAUACGCAGUAGCGUAACAAAAAAACAGACACACAUAAAGUAUUACUCUAAACACUAAUGUGUGUGUGUAUUUGUGAGGUUGAAGAAAGAAAAUAAAAAUAUUUGGUAUCAUCAAAUGACAGCGUGAAUAAAAAUAUUUGAGAGGUUGUGAUGAUUAAACGAUAUUGAAAUUAAAUAUAUAAAUGAUAAAAAGAUAAUAAAAUUCCUUUGAAUAAAAGGUAAUAAAAUUAAAUGGGACCUCCUUAAAAAAAAUUAAAUGCAACGGUUCAAAAAAAAAAUGGUAGAUUUAUAUAAAAUUCCUUAGAAAAAAUCGUAUUGAAAUAUAAUAUUAAAAAAUAAAAGAAAAGCUUCCCAACGUGAACUGUAGAGAGAUACUUGUGAAAUAAAUCGUUGAGAAGUAGAUUUUUGAAGUAGCAUUCAACAACUUUUGGCCAAAGCUCAUUCAAUUCAAUUUUAUGCAUUAAAAAAAGUACAUUUUUUAGUAAGUACUUAAUUGAUAUUGUAUUUGGCCUAACUUCUCCUUAAAAAUGUAGAAUAGUUGGAAAAAAAAACCGGGUCAAACGAUAUCUUAUUCGCCCACAACGGCAGUGUAGAAGCAACUGAAUUUGGGAGAAAAAAAUUGAAAAAUAGUUAAAAAUAAAAAAUUAUAAAAUAGUUAAAAGUUUUUAAAAAUAUUAAAAUUGGAAAAUAGAUAAAAAAAAAUUGGUGAGGUAGCACUCAACCAAGCAACACUAAAAAAAUUAUAUGCAUUAGUAACAAAAAAACAGACAGACGGACAUAAAAUAUUACUCUAAACGUUAAUAUGUGUGUAUAUUCGCGAGUUUGAAGAAAUGAAAUAAAAAUAUUUGGAAUCAUUAAAUGACAGGGUGAAUAAAAAUAUUUGUGAGGUUGUGAUGAUUAAACGAUAUUGAAAUUAAAUAUAUAAGUGAUAAAAAGAUAAUAAAAUUUCUUUGAAAAAAGAUAAAAUUAAAUGGAACGGUUGAAAAAAAUAAACUUAAGUGGAAGAAAAAAACAUAUUGAAAUAUAAUAUUAAAAAAAUAAAGAAAAGAUUCCCGGCGUGAGUUGAAAAGAGGUGUUUGUGAAAUAAAUUGUCGAGAAGUAGUUUUUUAAAGUAACAUUCAACAAUUUCUGGUCAAAGCUCAUUCCAUUCAAUUUUAUGCGUUCAAAAAAGUACUUUUUUAAGUAAGUACUUCUCCUUACUAAUUGAUAUUGUGUUUGGCCUAACUUUUCCUUAAAAAUGUAGCGAAGUUCGAAAAAAGUCGGGUCAAACGAUACCUUAAUCUCCCACAACGGCAAUGUAGAAGCAACUGAAUUUGGGAGAAAAAAUUGAAAAAUAGUUAAAAAUAAAAAAAUUGGAAAAUAAUUAAAAGUUAUUUAAAUUAUAAAAAUUAGAACAUAAUUAAAAAAAAUUGUUUAGGGGAAAAAAUGGAAAUUCUUAGGUCAUAGUUCAAAAAAAAAAAACUUAACCAAUAAGUAGAUUACCAAAUUGCCCCUUAUAGGGGCAAAAUGGUAAAUCCAUGGGACAUUUCUUUUAAUAUAAGUAUAUAUAUUAAAAGGGAGUUAAGUGUAAUAAUGGGAAGUUGAGAAGGAAGUUAAGAAAAGAGAAGUUAGAAAGCAUUGUACGUAGAAACUGUCAAGUUGGGAGAAAAUGGAGAGAAGAGCAAGUAGAACCCAGGAACCAAAUUGCUGUGCAUUUCUUCUGCAAAUUUAAGGUAAAGGUGAGGUUUGCUUCAGUAGUAUAGAUGUUAAUUUCUGAUUUUGAGUUUAACAGAGUUUUUGGUGAGAAUUGGGAUUUUGGGUUUUGUGAUGAAAUGAUGAUUUUAGGGUAGAGAUUGUUGUUCUAAUGUAAGAAUUAGGUUCUAGUUGUAGACAGCACUUAGUUUUACAUCUGUUAACUAAUUUGGGGAGUGAAUUGAAGAAAAAUGGGAUUUUGGGGAAAAACCUGUUUUCUGCCCGUACAGAAGUUCAUCGCUCGCCUCGCGAGUAGCUUGUGCUCGCCACGCAAGUGAGCAACUUCAUGGCUCGCCUCGCGAGCAGACCAACUCGCCGUGGCGAGUAACCCAGAUCAAAACUUGAUUUUUAAAUUGUUGUUAUAAGAUAUUUUGGGGAUAGUUUAAUGUGCCUAAGUGAUUAUAAAGAGGACUGGAGCAAGUUUUAGAUUAAAAAGAUGAAUAGGGAGCUUAGAAUUGAAGUUUGAGUGAGAAAAAUGUCAAAACUCCCGAGAGCCCCAUAUUUUCACUCGCCUCGAGUUCGCCUUGAACUCGCCAUUGCGAGUAACUUGUUUUGCGAGCUCGCCAUAGCGAGCAUAUGUGCUCGCGAGGCGACCUACCCAGUUUUGUGUGCUGAUUUUAUUUAUAUGAAUGGUAGUGAUUGAUGUUGAUGUUUUGGGCAUAGUUAUGUUUAAUUGUGCAUUGUUCUGGAUUGUUGAACCACUGUUUGAUGAUGUUGCUGAUGGCUGUAAUGUAUGCUAUAAUUAUUGAAUCAUACAUGUUGUAUAAAUUGGAGUCAUAUGAAGAAUGUAUGCAUGGUCAAGUUGUAUGUAGAUAUACACAAGUAGGUCCAUAGCAUAUGCAUAAACAGCGGGAGGACUCAUGUCCUAGAGCACUAGUUGUUCACAGCGGGGAGGGCUUCGGUCCUGAUGAAUGCUUUAACCAUUCAAAAGCGGUGAGGGCUUCGGUCCUGUUUGUUACCACAUGCAUAUCUGCAUUAUUGAGGGGUCUUAGUGGUGUUGUCAUGUCAUGCAUGAGUCUUGGUUGAGGGUUGUAAUUGCCAUAUUGAUGAUGUUGACGAUUUUGUUUGAUGAGUACAUAUUUAUACAUAUAUGAUGAUGAAUUGACUUGAUGGUGAUGUUGUUGUUGCUUUGUGAAAUAUAUAAUUAUAUUUACAAGAUGAUAUAUUGAUGUUUAUAGGGAGUUAGAUUCAAUUGAUGAUUUUAAUAUCUAUAUUUUAUUGUUGUGAAUCUCACCCCUUCUGCUUGAAAACGUUGCCCUUCCUAUGGGUAACUUGCAGGUGAUCCUGAGUAGUCGGUGGUGGCUCAAGUGUCGUGUCUAGGGCUCUGAUACGUGGGAUGAGAAUUAUUAAUGUUUUCUUUCCUAUGUAUCUUAUUUUGGAACUUGAUGUUAUGGCCUUAUGUUGGUUGAUUAUGUUGUUGAGGCUUUAUGCCAGAUUAUUAUUUUUGGAGUUUUAAACAAUUGUUGUUUGUUGAUGAUAUUAUUCCGCUGCUGAAUAAAUGUUGAUUUCUAUGGAUGUUUCAUAAAUAGAUUUUCUUAUAUUCAAUUUAAGAAAUUUUGAAAAUGUAGUGUGACAUGACCGUUUAGGUUUUACUCUGAUGUUGAAUUAAUUAUUAUUUAAUUAUUUUUGGGUAACGGGGUGUUACAAUUGGUAUCAGAGCAGGUUGGUCCAUCCGGCCACGUAGUAGAGUCGUGUUGAGCCACCUAGGAUAGAGUGUCAACUUUAAUGUUGCUUUUGUUGUUGUUCUGAGUUGUUGUUUCUUAUGUAGAACCUCGAGAUGACUGGUAGUACUGAUGCUGCUCUUGUUGCUGCGCUUGAGGCUCUAGCUCAAGCUGUCCAACAGCAACCGAAAGCUGAAGCUGGUAGUGAUGGGACUAGAAUGUUGGAGACUUUCUUAAGGAAUCAUCCACCAACAUUCAAAGGUAGAUAUGAUCCUGAUGGUGCUCAGAAAUGGCUGAAGGAGGUUGAAAGAAUUUUCAAGGUCAUGUAGUGUUCAGAGACACAGAAGGUACGGUUUGGGACGCACAUGUUAGCAGAAGAGGCUGACGACUGGUGGGUUAGCAUGUUGCCUAUUCUGGAGCAGGAUGGAGUUGUGGUAACAUGGGCUAUGUUCAGAAAGGAUUUUCUGAGUAUGUACUUCCCGGAAGAUGUCCGAGGUAAGAAGGAGAUUGAAUUUCUGGAAUUGAAACAAGGUGAUAUGUCCGUUACGGAAUAUGCUGCUAAGUUCGUGGAACUUGUUAAGUUCUACCCUCAUUACAGUGCGGAGACAGCUGAAUUCUCCAAGUGUAUCAAGUUUGAAAAUGGGUUGAGGGCUGAUAUCAAAAGAGCUAUUGGGUAUCAGAAGAUUAGAGUUUUCUCUGAGUUGGUAAGCAGCUGCGGGAUUUAUGAGGAAGACACAAAAGUUCAUUACAAGGUGAUGAGUGAGAGGAGAGGUAAGGGACAGCAGAAUCGUCCUAAACCUUACAGUGCUCCUGCUGACAAAGGGAAACAGAGAAUGAAUGAUGAUAGGAGGCUUAAGAGGAGAGAUGCUCCUGCUGAAAUUGUUUGUUAUAAGUGUGGUGAAAAAGGCCACAAAAGCAAUGCUUGUGGUAGAGAUGAGAGGAAGUGUUUCAGGUGUGGUCAGAAAGGACAUACACUAGCUGAAUGUAAGCGUGAGGACAUUGUCUGCUACAACUGCAACGAAGAAAGUCAUAUCAGUUCAUAGUGUACUCAGCCGAAGAAGGCUAGGACCGGUGGGAAAGUGUUUGCAUUGACUGGUACGCAGACUACCAAUGAGGACCGACUUAUCAGAGGUACUUGUUUCUUUAAUAGUAAUCCUUUAAUUGCUAUUAUAGACACUGGUGCUACUCAUUGUUUCAUUGCUUUAGAAAGUGCAUAUAAGUUGGGUUUGAUUGUAUCUGAUAUGAAAGGAGAAAUGGUUGUUGAAACUCCAGCUAAGGGUUCAGUAACUACUUCUCUUGUUUGUUUGAGGUGUCCUAUAUCUAUGUUUGGUAGAGACUUUGUGGUUGAUUUAGUUUGUUUGUCGUUGUCGGGUAUGGAUGUUAUUUUCGGUAUGAAUUGGUUAGAGUAUAAUCCAGUUCAUAUCAACUGCUUUAGUAAGACGGUGCAUUUUUCUUCUGCUGAAGAAGAAGGUGAAGUUGAGUUCUUGUCUACAAAACAGAUGAAACAGCUAGAACGUGAUGGAAUUUUGAUGUAUUCUUUAAUGGCAUAUUUGUCGUUAGAAAAUCAAGUUGUAGUUGACAGGUUACCGGUUGUGAAUGAAUUCCCAGAAGUGUUUCCUGAUGUGCCACCAGAAAGGGAGGUUGAAUUUUUAAUUGACCUUGUUCCAGGAACAAAGCUGGUGUCGAUGGCACCUUACCGUAUGUCAGCUUCUGAGUUAGCUGAAUUGAAGAAACAGUUGGAGGACUUGCUUGAUAAGAAGUUUGUAAGACCAAGUGUUUCACCUUGGGGAGCGCCGGUGUUGUUAGUUAAGAAGAAGGAUGGUAGCAUGAGGUUGUGCAUUGACUACCGUCAGUUGAACAAAGUUACGAUAAAGAAUAGGUAUCCACUUCCGAGAAUUGAUGACUUGAUGGAUCAGUUAGUGAGUGCAAAGGUGUUCAGUAAGAUUGAUUUGAGGUCUGGUUACCAUCAGAUGAAGGUCAAGGAUGAGGAUAUGCAGAAGACGACUUUUAGGACACGAUAUGGUCAUUACGAAUACAAGGUGAUGCCUUUCGGUGUUACUAAUGCGCCUGGUGUGUUUAUGGAAUAUAUGAAUAGGAUUUUCCAUGCUUUUCUGGAUAAAUUUCUAGUUGUGUUUAUUGAUGAUAUUUUAAUCUAUUCCAAGAAUGAAGAGGAGCAUGCAGAGCAUCUGAGAAUUGUAUUGCAAGUUUUGAAAGAAAAGAGGUUGUAUGCAAAGUUGUCAAAAUGUGAAUUCUGGUUAAGUGAAGUGAGUUUUCUGGGUCACAUUAUUUGUGGUAGUGGUAUUGCUGUUGAUCCUUCAAAAGUUGAUGCAGUAUCACAAUGGGAGACUCCGAAGUCAGUAACUGAAAUCAGAAGCUUUUUGGGUUUGGCUGGUUAUUAUUGCAGGUUCAUAGAAGGUUUUUCAAAAUUGGCACUUCUGUUGACUCAGUUGACCUGUAAGGGUAAAUCUUUUGUGUGGGAUGCUCGGUGUGAGAGUAGUUUCAAUGAGUUGAAGCGAAGAUUGACGACUGCUCCUAUUUUGAUUCUACCUAAACCAGAAGAACUGUUUGUUGUUUACUGUGAUGCAUAUAAGCUGGGCUUAGGUGGUGUUCUAAUGCAAGAUGGUAAGGUGGUAGCAUAUGCUUCUAGGCAAUUGAGGAUUCAUGAGAAGAAUUAUCCUACGCAUGAUCUGGAGUUGGCUGCGGUGGUAUUUGUUUUAAAAAUUUGGAGGCAUUACUUGUACGGUUCCAGAUUUGAGGUGUUCAGUGAUCAUAAGAGUUUGAAAUAUUUGUUUGAUCAGAAGGAAUUGAACAUGAGGCAGAGGAGAUUGUUAGAACUACUGAAGGAUUAUGAUUUUGGCUUGAAUUACCAUCCUAGUAAGGCCAAUGUGGUUGCUGAUGCAUUGAGGAGGAAAACAUUGCAUAUGUCUGCUUUGAUGGUAAAGGAAUUUGAGUUGCUAGAGCAGUUUAGGGACUUGAGUCUUGUCUGUGAAUUGUCACCUCAGAGUAUACAGUUGGGGAUGAUGAGGAUUGAUAGUGAUUUCUUGAACAGUAUCCGAGAAGCUCAGCAAGUAGAUUUGAAGUUUGUUGAUUUGAUGACUACUGGUAAUGACACUGAGGAUAGUGACUUUAAGGUUGAUGAUCAGGGUGUGCUGAGGUUCAGAGGAAGAUUUUGUAUUCCUGACAAUGAUGAUUUGAAGAAGUUGAUUCUUGAAGAGAGUCACGAUAGUAGUUUGAGUAUUCACCCAGGGGCUAUAAAGAUGUACCAUGAUUUGAAGAAACUGUUUUGGUGGUCCGGUUUGAAACGAGAUGUUGCUCAGUUUGUUUAUGCAUGUUUGACUUGUCAGAAGUCUAAAGUUGAACAUCAGAAGCCUGCAGGAUUGUUGACACCGUUGGAUGUACCGGAGUGGAAAUGAGACAGUAUUUCUAUGGAUUUUGUGACGAGUUUUCCAAACACUCCGAGAGGACAUGAUUCUAUAUGGGUUGUGGUCGAUAGGUUGACAAAGUCGGCACAUUUUAUUCUAUAUGCUUUAGGUUCAAAGUUGAGGUUGAGUUCGGCUUAUCAUCCUCAGACAGAUGGUCAGUCGGAAAGGACGAUCCAAUCAUUGGAGGAUUUGUUAAGAGUGUGUGUGCUUGAGCAAGGUGGAGCUUGGGAUAGUCACCUACCGUUGAUUGAGUUCACUUAUAACAACAGCUAUCAUUCGAGUAUUGGCAUGGCACCGUUCGAAGCUUUGUAUGGUCGGAGGUGCAGGACUCCUUUAUGCUGGUUUGAGUCAGGUGAGAGUGUUGUGUUGGGACCGGAUGUGGUUCAUGAGACGACUGAAAAGGUCAAAAUGAUAAGGGAAAAGAUGAAGGCUUUGCAGAGUCGACAGAAGAGUUACCAUGACAAGCGAAGGAAGGCUCUUGAGUUUCAGGAGGGUGAUCAUGUUUUUCUGAGGGUCACUCCUUUGACGAGUGUACGACGUGCAUUGAAGUCGAGGAAAUUGACUCCAAAGUUCAUUGGUCCGUAUCAGAUUUCAGAGAGAGUUGGAAUAGUGGCUUAUAGAGUUGAUUUGCCCCCACAUCUUUCGAACUUGCAUGAUGUGUUUCAUGUGUCGCAGCUUCGGAAGUAUGUAGCGGAUCCUUCACAUGUGAUUCCAAGAGAUGAUGUACAGGUUAGAGACAACCUGACAGUUGAGACAUUACCGUUGAGAAUUGAUGAUCGGAAGGUGAAGUCUUUGAGAGGUAAAGAGAUACCUCUUGUGAGAGUCGUUUGGGGUGGAGCGACUAGUGAAAGUUUGACUUGGGAGCUGGAGAGUAAGAUCCGGGAGUCGUACCCGAAGUUGUUUGCUUGAGGUAAGAUUUCGAGGACGAAAUUUUAUAAUUUGGGGAGAGUUGUAACGCCUAGUCGAUAUAUUUAUUAUUUUAAUUUAGGCUUAAUUGCACUUUUGGACCCCUAACUUUUCAAAAGUUGCGGUUACGGACCCCUAACUAAUUUAAAUACAAAACAGACCCCUAUGUUUGAAUUCUUUGUUAGUUUUGGACCCCCAGACCAUUUUUUGACUUUUCGUUGCUGACGUGGCACCCACAUCCUAUUAGUGAGGUGCCACGUGUAUUAUUAUUUUUUUCUUUGUUUUUUAAAUUCGUCCUGUUAUUUUUAAUUUGAAAAAAAUUAAAAAUAAAAAAAAAGGAAAAAGGAAAUAGAAAGACUGGUCACGUGCAGGUUGCAAUUGAUGCAACGGUAAGAAAUUAGGGUUCAAAAACCCCCAAUUUCCCAAAUCUGAAAAUCCAUCUCAAAACAUCUUCUCCAAUCAAGUUCUCCUUCUUCAUCUCAUUCAAAUCGAUUUCCUCCUCCUUCUUCUCCAAUCGUUCUCCUUGUUUGUUUCUUCUCAAAUCGAUUUCGUUUGCUCAUCUGGCCUUCUUUUUUUUUCAUCUGAGUCGCAUAACAACACAAGAAGCUUAGUUUUUGCUGGAAACCAAAAAAUGGUUGAAUAUUCAUCUUCUUCGUUUAGUGGGUCAACAUUGAAGCAAAGAACCAAGUUGGUUUGUUUUUGUGGUGUUGAUUCACCAUUGGUGACUACUUGGAUUGAGGAGAAUCCAGGAAGGAGGUUUCACGGCUGUGGGAGGUAUUUUGGCAGAAGAAAAUGCAAUUUUUUUAGGUGGUAUGAUCUUGAGGUACCUGAUAGGCAGAAGAAAAUAAUUCGAACACUGUUGAGGAAGAAUGAUGAAUUGAAGAAGAAAGAAAGAAGUAUUGUAAUUGCCAUGGUUGUGUUAGGAAUGCUUUUGUUCAUGUUUGGCCUUUUAGCUCUAGGGUUAGCUAUGUAACAAGGUUGCUUUUGUUCAUGUAUGUCCUUUUUCCUUUUGUUUUUUAAUUUUUUUCAAAUUUAAAAUAACAGGACGAAUUUAAAAAACAAAGAAAAAAAAAUACACGUGGCACCUCACUAAUGGGAUAUGGGUGCCACGUCAGCAACGAAAAGUCAAAAAAUGGUCUUGGGGUCCAAAACUAACAAAGAAUCCAAACAUAGGGGUCUGUUUUGUAUUUAAAUUAGUUAGGGGUCCGUAACCGCAACUUUUGGAAAGUUAGGGGUCCAAAAGUGCAAUUAAGCCUUUAAUUUAAUUAGAGUCUUAUACGUGAUUUUAAUUAAUAUUUGUGAUGUCAUGUGGUGUGAUAUAUUUUAUUAUAUGGUUGGUUUUAAUAUUAAUUUAAAUAGGUGUGAAAUAAUAAUUAUUUUUGGAGUUUGGGGAGUUAAUAUAAUUUAUUAGAAUUAAGAGGGAGUUAAGUGUAAUAAUGGGAAGUUGAGAAGGAAGUUAAGAAAAGAGACGUUAGAAAGCAUUGUACGUAGAAACUGUCAAGUUGGGAGAAAAGGGAGAGAAGAGCAAGUCUUCUGCAAAUUUAAGGUAAGGGUGAGGUUUGCUUCAGUAGUAUAGAUGUUAAUUUCUGAUUUUGAGUUUAACAGAGUUUUUGGUGAGAAUUGGGAUUUUGGGUUUUGUGAUAAAAUGAUGAUUUUAGGGUAAAGAUUGUUGUUCUGAUGUUAGAAUUAGGUUCUGGUUGUAGACAGCACUUAGUUUUACAUCUGUUAACUAAUUUGGGGAGUGAAUUGAAGAAAAAUGGGAUUUUGGGGAAAAACUUGUUUUCUGCCCGUACAGAAGUUCAUCGCUCGCCUCGCGAGUAGCUUGUGCUCGCCACGCGAGUGAGCAACUUCAUAGCUCGCCUCGCGAGCAGACCAACUCGUCGUGGCGAGUAACCCAGAUCAAAACUUGAUUUUUAAAUUGUUGUUAUAAGAUGUUUUGGGGAUAGUUUAAUGUCCUUAAAUGAUUAUAAAGAGGACUGGAGCAAGUUUUAGAUUAAAAAGAUGAAUAGGGAGCUUAGAAUUGAAGUUUGAGUGAGAAAAAUGUCAAAACUCCCGAGAGCCCCAUAUUUUCACUCGCCUCGAGUUCGCCUUGAACUCGCCAUUGCGAGUAACUUGUUUUGCGAGCUCGCCAUAGCGAGCAGAUGUGCUCGCGAGGCGAGCUACCCAGUUUUGUGUGUUGAUUUUAUUUAUAUGAAUGGGAGAUAAUUCAGUUUUACGUGAAUACAGUCAGUUUUGGGAGAAAAGGGAGAGAAGAGCAAGUAGAGCCAAGGGAAUCGAUUGCUGUGCAUUUCUUUCUGCAAAACUAAGGUAAGGGUGAGGUUUACUUCAAUUGUGUAGAUUCUGAAUUCUGAUUUUGAUUUUAACAGCUUUUUUUUAGAAUUGGAAAUUUUAGGUUUUUGGUGAAUUAUUGGGUUUUGAGUGUAAGAAUUGUUGUCCUGAUGUUAGAAAUAGGUUCUGAGUGCAUACAGCAAGUUAUUACACAUCUGUAAACCAAAUUGGGGAGUGAAAGUGAGAAAAUUGGAUUUUUUGGGAAAAACCUGCAUUCUGGUCGUGCUGAUAUUCAUCGCUCGCCUAAGCGAGUAGACCUUCCCGCCUCGUGAGUGAGCAACUUCAUGGCUCGCCUCGCGAGCAGAACCACUCGCCACGGCGAGCAAGUGCCUGAGAGAUCAUGAUUUUUGAAGUGUUGUUAUAAGCUGUAAAAUGGAUAGUUUUAAGUACCUAGAUGAUUUUUGAGAGGUCUGGGACAAUUUUCAGAUUAAAAAGAUGAAUAGGGAACUUAAAAAUGAAGAUUUAGUGAGAAAAAUGUCAAAACACCCGAGAGCACCUGUUUUGAGUUCGCCUUGAGUUCGCCACGGCAAGCAGCCUUUUUCUUGUGCUCGUCAUAGCGAGUAUAAGUACUCGCGAGGCGAGUUGCCUAGUUUCAGAGUUGAUUGUUAUUUAGUUGAAUAAUGUUGAAUGAUAUUGAUGUUUAAGCCUGAUUAUGAUAAAUUGUGCAUUUUUCUGGGAUGAUUGGAUUGAUUAUGAUGACCUGUUGAUGUCUGUGAUGUAUGUUACAUUAAUUAAAUCAUACAUGGUGUUUAGUUAGCGGAGUUGUAAGUAGAUAUACACAAGUGGAGUUAGUUGCAUAAGCACAAAAGCGGGAGGGCUCCGGCCCUGGAACGCCAUGUCGUUCAAAGUGGUGGAACACUUUGUUGUUCAAAGCGGUGUUUAGCGGUGAGGACUUAGGUCCUGAAAUGAAUGCUUUAACCAUUCUAUUAGCGGUGAGGGCUCCGGCCCUGAAUAUGGUACCACAUGCAUUAUAGAGGAGUCUAAGUGGAGUUGUGGAGUAUUGCACGAGUCGAUGUUGUUGGUUUUAAUUACCAUUAGUUGUUGAUGUUGAUAAUGAUGAUAUUUAUAUAUGUUGAUGAAUUAUUAUUAUGAUAGAGUGUUAGAUUCAAUUGAUUCAUUUAUUAUCUAUAUUAUUGUUGUGAAUCUCACCCCUUUUGUUUGAAAAUGUUGUCCUUCCUAUAGGUAACUUGCAGGUGAUCCUGAGUAGUAGGUGGUGGCUCAAGUGUCUAGGGCUCUCAUACGUACGGGAUGGGAUUUUAAUGUUUACUUUCAUUCCUAUGUAUCAAAUUUUGGAACAUGAUGAUGUAGCCCUAUUGUUGUAUAGAUUUCUUUGAUGAGGCUUUUAUACUAGGAUAAUUUUAUGGAGAAUUAAACCGUUGUCGUUGUUGAUUUUAAUGCAAAUAUUCCGCUGCAAAAUUAAUGAUGUUUUGAAGGAUGUUUAAUUAAAUAGUUUUUUAUAUGCUAUUUAAGAAAUUUUGGAUUAGUAGUGUGACAUGCCCGUUUGGGAUUUACUCUGAUGUAUGUUUAUUUAUUAUUUAAAUUGUUUUUGGGUAACGGGGUGUUACACUAGAAGUGUCCAGGUCCCCUCUCACUCUCUUUAUGCAGACGACAUAAUGAUAUUUUGCAAAGGAAAGUUAUCUUCAAUUAAUGCUCUCAUGGACUUUUUCAAUUCUUAUGCUCUGGCUUCAGGCCAAGUUAUCAAUCCCUCCAAGUCUACUAUUUAUUAUGGUUCUAUCUCUAAUGCCAGGCUAGAGCAGAUAACUAAUCUUAUAGGUUUUAAUAAAGGUUCUUUUCCUUUUUCUUACCUUAGAGUUCCAAUUUUUAAAGAGAAACAAAAAAAAUCUCAUUUGCAGCCUAUUGCGGAUAAGAUUAAGUCUAAGCUUGGUGCUUGGAAAGCCUCUCUUUUAUCUAUUGUAGGGAGAGUCACUCUUGUGAAAGCUGUGAUUCAAGGUAUGAUGAUGCACACAAUCUCUUUGUACUCUUGGCCCAAUUCCUUGUUAAAAGAAGUAGAGGCUUGGAUCAGAAAUUUUAUCUGGAGCGGUGACAUUUCUAAAAGGAAGCUGGUUACUGUUUUUUGGAAGAAGGUGUGUAAACCUUUUUCAGAAGGUGGCUUGGGGUUGAGGUCUUUGUAUAUUCUAAACGAAGCAACUAAUUUGAAGAUGUGCUGGGAUCUUAAAAAUUCUAGUGAAGAUUGGGCGAUUCUCCUUCGAAGCAAGGUGUUUAGGGGAAGGAAAGUAAUCUCUCACCAUAUUUUCUCUUCUAUUUGGAGCAGUGUUAAAUCAAAAAUUAGCAACAUCAAUGAAAAUUGCAGCUGGAUCAUAGGUAAUGGAGAGAAUAUUAAAUUUUGGCUUGAUACCUGGAUGGACAAACCUAUUGCAUCUUUGCUUUAAUUUUACUGAUAUUGUUCAUAGCACUUUAACAACUAGGGUCUCCGAAUACAUUCAUAAUUCUCUCUGGCACAUCCCUCAAUCGAUCCUGGAUGCUUACCCCAUUUUGAGUCAACUUGUCAUGCAAAUUACUCUUCCUAGGCAUCCGAAAAAUGAUAAACUUGUCUGGAAAACUAGUUCAACGGGUGAUCUUUCUCUUAAGGAAGCUUUUCUAUUCAAGUAUGGUGCUGGCCAAAAUAUUUCUUGGGCCAAGGAUUUAUGGAGCCCGGAUAUCCCACCUUCAAAAUCUUUGAUGACUUGGAGACUCAUGCACAACAAGCUCCCUGCCGAUGAUAACCUUGCUCUUAAAGGUUGUAACCUCCCCUCAAUGUGUUCAUCCUGUCAGACUUAUGAGGAAACCACUUUUCAUUUAUUCUUUGAAUGCACUUUUGCUUCAAAAAUGUGGUCUUUGCUAGCAUCUCUUCUCAAUAUGUCGUUGAUCUUCAAUUCUCCGAUGGAUAUUUGGGCUAUCUUAGCAAAUAGCUGGACUCCUCAAUGCAAAGUAGUAGUUCAAGCUUGCAUCAUCAAUAUUUUAAACAUCAUAUGGCUUAGGAGGAACAACAUUCGAUUUCAAGGUAAGACGGUUGAUUGGAGAACAGCCAUAAACUUGAUCAUUUCCAAAGUCUCUUUAUCAGGGAACCUUACCACUAAAACUGCUGCUGCUAAUAUGUUAGAAUUCACCAUCUUGAAAGCUUGCAAAGUUAACAUCAAGCCUCCUAGGGCUGCCUUGAUCAAAGAAAUCAUUUGGGCUCCUCCUAUGCAUUCUUGGGUGAAGGUGAACACAGACGGUGCAUCUAUCAAGAAUCCUUCAAGAGCAGCAGCGGGUGGAAUUUUUAGGAACUCCGAGGGUGUUUGUUUAGGUGGAUUCUCUCAAUUUCUUGGUGAUGCUAAUGCUCUUUAUGCUGAACUAAUUGCAGCAAUCAAUGCUAUUAAAAUUGCUGCCUUGAUGGGAUUCUCCAAUGUUUGGUUAGAGUCAGAUUCUCAAUUAGUCAUUCUUGCUUUCAAAUCCAAAUCUGUUGUUCCUUGGAGUUUAAAAAAUAGGUGGGAAAAUUGUAUUCAGUCUACCCAUAGAAUGAGAUUCUGUGAUUCGCAUGUUUACAGGGAAGGAAAUAUCUGUGCGGACAGACUGGCGAAUUUUGGUUUGUCUUUAUAUUCUUCAGAGUUGUUUUGGUUUGAUAGCAUUCCUGACUUUGUUAGGAGGGAGUACAAUAGGAAUAGGUUGGGUAUGCCCAAUUUUCUUUUGAAAAGGUUUUGGUUUGGUUCCCGUUUUCUCUUUAAUGAAAUUAUUAGAUGCUCUUUGCAUCCUUUCAAAAAAAAAAAAAAAUCAUUUCUUUAGUUUAUCAACAAAAUAACACUUCUUUCCCAAUACCACAAAAAAACAUAUAUGCAUAUCAAAAUAAAAUAAAUGUCAUUCUACGGAACAUUUUAUACACACAUCGUAUAAAAUAUAAUUAAACUAAUAACUUUUAUAAAAGGUUAAAUUUUACCAUAUAAAUUCAUAUUUUAGAUUUUUUGUCUUCUUUUCAAAGAAUCUCUACCUCAUAACAUCAUCCUAGUACUUAGUAUGGACGUAUGGGAAAAAACCCUUACCUCGAGAACUUUUCUUCCUAGCCAAACUCUAAACCACCUCAAACUCACAGCUAAAUGUUGUCUCGCACUGCAGGGAUUAUUUUGACGAUCCGAUGAAAAGAGGAUUUACAUGUUGGGAACACGCUGUCCAAUAAUUAGCUCAAUCAGACAGUGAACGAAGCCGUAGUCGCAAUUCUACGAUGACAGGUUUGAAGAAAACAAAAAUGACUUAAAUUAGAAUUUGAUGAAGUGAGACAAGGGAUAAAUUAGAAGAACAUAUAUGAAAAGGACUUGCACGAAAAUUAUUGACAAGAUGAUAGCAUAGGGAUUGAUCGAUGGGGAAAUUAUUUGUAUACAACAUGUAAAUCAAUGGAAUGUUGGAGAUGAAUUCUUACAAAGGCUAUGGAAAAUAAUAAGAGAACAUUGUGAUAAGGAAUGAUGUGUGAUAGAUAUAAGAG